Molecule: long non-coding RNA, 155 nt
Organism: Anthonomus grandis grandis
Lineage: Eukaryota; Metazoa; Arthropoda; Insecta; Coleoptera; Curculionidae
Exons: 3
Source: RefSeq, a predicted model, not a curated record
GAAUAUGGCAACAUGCAGAUGGAAACUCCUGAGGGAUCUCAUUUUAAUAUUUCUGAUUCAGAGUUACCUAAUGAAGACAUAGAGCAAAUGGAGGAAGAUGGCAAAGAUUCUAAUGAGGAAGAUAGUUUAUUGUCAGCUGCUUUACCUACCAACUG